AGCAGUCGCCACGGUAAUACGGAGGGUGCAAGCGUUAAUCGGAAUUACUGGGCGUAAAGCGCACGCAGGCGGUUUGUUAAGUCAGAUGUGAAAUCCCCGGGCUCAACCUGGGAACUGCAUCUGAUACUGGCAAGCUUGAGUCUCGUAGAGGGGGGUAGAAUUCCAGGUGUAGCGGUGAAAUGCGUAGAGAUCUGGAGGAAUACCGGUGGCGAAGGCGGCCCCCUGGACGAAGACUGACGCUCAGGUGCGAAAGCGUGGGGAGCAAACAGGAUUAGAUACCCCAGUAGUCCCUGUCUCUUAUAC
Molecule: ribosomal RNA, 303 nt
Filed under: uncultured bacterium
Lineage: Bacteria
Description: partial 16S ribosomal RNA
Rfam family: Bacterial small subunit ribosomal RNA
Source: RNAcentral